Molecule: ribosomal RNA, 279 nt
Filed under: uncultured bacterium
Lineage: Bacteria
Description: partial 16S ribosomal RNA
Rfam family: Archaeal small subunit ribosomal RNA
Source: RNAcentral
UGCCAGCCGCCGCGGUAAAACCAGCACCUCAAGUGGUCAGGAUGAUUAUUGGGCCUAAAGCAUCCGUAGCCUGUUUUGUAAGUCUUCGGUUAAAUCCAUCAACUCAAGUGAUGGGCCGCCGGAGAUACUGCAAAACUAGGGAAUGGGAGAGGUAGACGGUACUCGAUAGGAAGGGGUAAAAUCCUUUGAUCUAUUGAUGACCACCUGUGGCGAAGGCGGUCUACCAGAACAUGUUCGACGGUGAGGGAUGAAAGCUGGGGGAGCAAACCGGAUUAGAUA